GAUGAACGCUAGCGGCAGGCCUAACACAUGCAAGUCGAGGGAGGAGCUUUCGGGCUUGGAGCGUCGUACGGGGGCGUAAGGCGGAUACAAUCUGCCUUUCACAGAGGUAUAGCCCGAGGUAAUUUGGAGUAAUACCUAAUGGUAUAUAGGAGUGGCAUCACAUUUAUAGUAAAGCUGAGGCGGUUAAAGAGGAGUAUGCGUUCUAUUAGCUAGUUGGAGAGGUAACGGCUGCCCAAGGCGACGAUAGAUAGGGGUUCUGAGAGGGAUAUCCCCCACACUGGUACUGAGAUACGGACCAGACUCCUACGGGAGGCAGCAGUGAGGAAGAUUGGACAAUGGUAGGAAGACUGAUCCAGCCAUGCCGCGUGCAGGAAGACGGCCUUAUGGGUUGUAAACUGCUUUUGGAGGGGAAGAAUAAGGAGUACGAGUAGUUUGAUGACGGUACUCUGCGAAUAAGCACCGGCUAACUCCGUG
RNAcentral lists this ribosomal RNA (474 nucleotides) under uncultured bacterium. Its description in RNAcentral is "partial 16S ribosomal RNA". It matches the Rfam family "Bacterial small subunit ribosomal RNA", at positions 28 to 507 of the family's 1533-position model. The record is from RNAcentral.